GGAGUCUAACAUGUAUGCGAGUAAACUGGGUUAAAAAACCUAACAUACAAAAAUGAAAGUAACUGGUAGGAAUCCUUUAUUGGAAGCACUAUCAACCGACAUGGAUAUGGGUUAAACCAUUGAAAUGAUUGAGUUAGAGUAUAUAUGUUAGGACCCGAAAGAUGGUGAACUAUGCCUGAGUAGGGCAAAGCCAGAGGAAACUCUGGUGGAGGCUCGUAGGGGUUCUGACGUGCAAAUCGAUCUUCAAACUUGGGUAUAGGGGCGAAAGACUAAUCGAACCAUCAAGUAGCUGGUUCCCUCCGAAGUUUCCCUCAGGAUAGCAGAGACUAGCUGUUUAACAGUUUUAUCAGGUAAAGCGAAUGAUUAGAGGCUUUGGGGAAGAAACUUCCUCGACCUAUUCUCAAACUUUAAAUAGGUAAGAUAUGAUGGUUACUUAAUUUGAACUAUCAUACGAAUGUAUAGUCUUUAGUGGGUCCAUUUUUGGUAAGUCAGAACUGGCGAUGUGGGAUGAACCG
This 515-nucleotide ribosomal RNA is filed under the name uncultured eukaryote. Its description in RNAcentral is "eukaryotic LSU rRNA". It matches the Rfam family "Eukaryotic large subunit ribosomal RNA", at positions 670 to 1170 of the family's 3401-position model. The record is from RNAcentral.